ACUCUCCUGUGGAAACUUGGUUGAUCGACAUUCCCUGGAGUGAGGGAUGGCAGGACGCUCAGAUCAGCAGAGCUGCUGGUUCUCCGCUGAUCACAUCCUUCCUGUGCGCUGCUGGUAUGCCACAGAGCUUGCCAGAGCCCAGUCAAGGCUGGCUGCAGCGGUCUGGACUCCUUGCUUGUCCUGGAUGGCUGACAUCGGCGAUCCAGGGACGUGGUGACAGACCAGCUCUGUGCCAUCUUUUAUCCCUGGGUUAUUUUUCAGCUGAGCUUGACUGCACGAAGUGGUGUACAGUCCAAGCAUGAAUAAGGGGCAGCAAUUUACUAAACCAGAGUUGCUGCUAAAGGCUUUCUUGAGAAACCAGCAGCGGUGUCGGUGGAGUUGAUUUCCUGAUGAAGAGGCAAUCAAGCAGCCUGUAUGUAGGGCUUGUCACCGAUGCAUGUACGUUUCUGUGCCAUCGCCCUGGGCACUCCAAGCUGAGCUCUUUCAUUUUCCCCAGGUUGGGAAGCUUGUAAGGUCUCAGAGCUCCCGGGGGCGUCUGCCCGCCGCGUUGGCUCAGCUCUGCUGGGGACGGCUCGUGCCGACAGGAGGCCUUGGAAGCGCCACGAGGCGGGGGGAAACGAUUUCUCCACGUACUGAAUUUGGCACCAGCUUUUCGUCUAAACCGGAGCCACUUUACACCUGUCUGGCAAGAUAAAGGGACUUAAAAUGAGCACCAGUGCAAUUCUAUUGCCUGCGCGGUGUACGAAGAUCCCAGCAUCAAUGAGUACCGGAGCUUCAAAGCUUUUGCUGGAAGUUUUUCCACCACCUGUGGUUCUGUUGGGCUGUUUUAUCUUCCAGGUGCGGGCGUUGAGCACUGGCUGGGCCAUCU
This is a long non-coding RNA of Oxyura jamaicensis (ruddy duck), 868 nucleotides long. RefSeq lists it as uncharacterized. The transcript is spliced from 4 exons. The record is from RefSeq and is a predicted model, not a curated record. NCBI's taxonomy places the organism in Eukaryota, Metazoa, Chordata, Aves, Anseriformes, Anatidae.